UAAUACUAAUUAUUAUAUAUCUACUUUUUUCACUAAUUCUUUUGAGGAUAAGCUCAAAGAGAAAGUUAAGAUAUUUAUGAUUAUAAGCCGUCGUGUGGGCUUAAAAUUGGCCACCACAAAAGUUUGUUAUAAAAUAACGGUUUCAACUCAAAAAAUAAAUAUAUUUUUAGUCUAACUUCUUACGGAAAUAAAACCUUUAACUAAAAUAAGUUUUAUGCCUAUGCUAGGAUGAGUAUUAUAAACUAAUAUUAAACAUGAAAAUAUUUCUUCAAUAAAAAUAUUUAAAUAAACUAAUUAAUUAAAAGGAACUCGGCAAAAUUAGUUGCUUCGCCUGUUUAUCAAAAACAUGGCUCUCUGCUUAUAUAAAUAUAGAGAGUCGAGCCUGCCCAGUGAAUUUUCAACGGCCGCGGUACUCUGACCGUGCAAAGGUAGCAUAAUCAUUUGCCUUAUAAUUGAAGGCUAGUAUGAAUGGUUUGACGAGAGCAACGCUGUCUCUUUUUUAUUUUCAAGAACUUAACUUUUAGGUGAAGAGGCCUAAAUUUUAUUGAAGGACAAGAAGACCCUGUCGAGCUUAAAAGAUACUAUAGAAGUACAUAUAUUUUUAAAUAAAUUUUCUAUUCAGCUUUUUAUUGGGGGCGACUAAGGAACAAAUAAAGCUUCUUAUUAAUAAUAAACACUCAUGUUUAGAUCCGGGAAUAACCGAUCAAAGGAAUUAGUUACCGCAGGGAUAACAGCAUAAUCUCUCUUGAGAGACCUAAUCGAAAGAGGGGGUUGUGACCUCGAUGUUGGACUAGAA
RNAcentral lists this ribosomal RNA (796 nucleotides) under Hua aristarchorum. RNAcentral's name for it is "partial 16S large subunit ribosomal RNA". The stretch from base 287 to 538 matches the Rfam family "Archaeal large subunit ribosomal RNA", at positions 1787 to 2143 of the family's 2987-position model. Lineage: Eukaryota; Metazoa; Mollusca; Gastropoda; Semisulcospiridae. The record is from RNAcentral.